GCAGUCGACGAUGAAGCCCUUCGGGGUGGAUUAGUGGCGAACGGGUGAGUAACACGUGGGCAAUCUGCCCUGCACUCUGGGACAAGCCCUGGAAACGGGGUCUAAUACCGGAUACUGAUCGCCUUGGGCAUCCUUGGUGAUCGAAAGCUCCGGCGGUGCAGGAUGAGCCCGCGGCCUAUCAGCUUGUUGGUGAGGUAAUGGCUCACCAAGGCGACGACGGGUAGCCGGCCUGAGAGGGCGACCGGCCACACUGGGACUGAGACACGGCCCAGACUCCUACGGGAGGCAGCAGUGGGGAAUAUUGCACAAUGGGCGAAAGCCUGAUGCAGCGACGCCGCGUGAGGGAUGACGGCCUUCGGGUUGUAAACCUCUUUCAGCAGGGAAGAAGCGAAAGUGACGGUACCUGCAGAAGAAGCGCCGGCUAACUACGUGCCAGCAGCCGCGGUAAUACGUAGGGCGCGAGCGUUGUCCGGAAUUAUUGGGCGUAAAGAGCUCGUAGGCGGCUUGUCGCGUCGGUUGUGAAAGCCCGGGGCUUAACCCCGGGUCUGCAGUCGAUACGGGCAGGCUAGAGUUCGGUAGGGGAGAUCGGAAUUCCUGGUGUAGCGGUGAAAUGCGCAGAUAUCAGGAGGAACACCGGUGGCGAAGGCGGAUCUCUGGGCCGAUACUGACGCUGAGGAGCGAAAGCGUGGGGAGCGAACAGGAUUAGAUACCCUGGUAGUCCACGCCGUAAACGGUGGGCACUAGGUGUGGGCGACAUUCCACGUCGUCCGUGCCGCAGCUAA
This 782-nucleotide ribosomal RNA is filed under the name Streptomyces sp. Its description in RNAcentral is "bacterial SSU rRNA". It matches the Rfam family "Bacterial small subunit ribosomal RNA", at positions 57 to 855 of the family's 1533-position model. Lineage: Bacteria; Bacillati; Actinomycetota; Actinomycetes; Kitasatosporales; Streptomycetaceae. The record is from RNAcentral.